AACGGGGCUUCGGCUCCGGCGCAAAGAGAGGCCCAAGUGAGAUUAGCUAGUUGGUAAGGUAACGGCUUACCAAGGCGACGAUCUCUAGCUGUUCUGAGAGGAAGAUCAGCCACACUGGGACUGAGACACGGCCCAGACUCCUACGGGAGGCAGCAGUGGGGAAUAUUGCACAAUGGGGGAAACCCUGAUGCAGCCAUGCCGCGUGUGUGAAGAAGGCCUUCGGGUUGUAAAGCACUUUCAGUUGUGAGGAAAAGUUAGUAGUUAAUACCUGCUAACCGUGACGUUAACAACAGAAGAAGCACCGGCUAACUCCGUGCCAGCAGCCGCGGUAAUACGGAGGGUGCGAGCGUUAAUCGGAAUUACUGGGCGUAAAGCGCACGCAGGCGGUUUGUUAAGCUAGAUGUGAAAGCCCCGGGCUCAACCUGGGAUGGUCAUUUAGAACUGGCAGACUAGAGUCUUGGAGAGGGGAGUGGAAUUCCAGGUGUAGCGGUGAAAUGCGUAGAUAUCUGGAGGAACAUCAGUGGCGAAGGCGACUCCCUGGCCAAAGACUGACGCUCAUGUGCGAAAGUGUGGGUAGCGAACAGGAUUAGAUACCCUGGUAGUCCACACCGUAAACGCUGUCUACUAGCUGUGUGUGCCUUUAAGGCGUGCGUAGCGAAGCUAACGCGCUAAGUAGACCGCCUGGGGAGUACGGCCGCAAGGUUAAAAC
RNAcentral lists this ribosomal RNA (709 nucleotides) under Alteromonas sp. 35B11. RNAcentral describes it as "bacterial SSU rRNA". It matches the Rfam family "Bacterial small subunit ribosomal RNA", at positions 202 to 900 of the family's 1533-position model. Lineage: Bacteria; Pseudomonadati; Pseudomonadota; Gammaproteobacteria; Alteromonadales; Alteromonadaceae. The record is from RNAcentral.